CAAAGAGACAGGGAGGGCAAGCAAGCAAAUUCUUGGUUAAGGAGGGGCAAUUUUUGAGAUAUAUCAGGUUUAAAAUAAAAAUUAAAAAGGCCCCAAGAAUCACAUGUAAAACUAACACAUAAAGUCAGACUUGAAUGAAUUUCCAGGCAUCAAUUUUCAAAAGCAAAACAUAUUGAGAGAGAACAUUACAAAAAUGGUAAAAAGAUGAAGAGAAAGAAAACAAGUGAUUUCACAAGUUUGGGAUUUGUGUUUGACUUGUUUUCUUGAACAAAGAGAUGGAAUAAAGGGGAUGAUGUCAUUAGAUGCAGUUGUGAUAAUUGGCUUUUGUACCCACAAACUAUGUAUAGUUUUCUAACCAUAGAGCUGUUAGAAAUGCUGUGUUUAUCUUUGCUAUUUGAUCCAUAUUCUGCUAGUUAUAUUUAUGGUGAUCAGAACAGCACCAUGUAUCUUUCAGUGGGUAGCAUUUACUAAGAGCUGUUUCAACCAUCCAGCUGUCCUGGGUCCUGAGAAAUAGUUGCCGAGGAAAGCAUGGG
Molecule: long non-coding RNA, 533 nt
Filed under: Bos taurus (domestic cattle)
Lineage: Eukaryota; Metazoa; Chordata; Mammalia; Artiodactyla; Bovidae
Description: long non-coding RNA NONBTAT000467
Source: RNAcentral